AAAAAAUCGAUGAUCAAGAAAAUAAUUAUAAAAAUGUUAUUAAAGCGAGUCGAAAAAUGGUGUGAGUUUGACAAUAAUUAUAUAAUUAUUAGAGCUUGUGAGUGACUACAGGAAAUAAAAGUAUGGUAGUUCGUAUAUCUACGUUACAGAUUUGAGUGGAUUUUUGUAUUUAAAAUGUAAAAAUCAAAUAGAGUGGUACCGCGUUUUAUAUCGCCUCUGGA
Molecule: non-coding RNA, 221 nt
Filed under: Clostridium sp.
Lineage: Bacteria; Bacillati; Bacillota; Clostridia; Eubacteriales; Clostridiaceae
Description: T-box sequence
Rfam family: T-box leader
About the family: Uncharged tRNA acts as the effector for transcription antitermination of genes in the T-box leader family. T-boxes are found upstream of many aminoacyl-tRNA synthetase genes and some amino acid biosynthetic genes usually in Gram-positive bacteria.
Source: RNAcentral